CCCUUAGAUGUUCUGGGCUGCACGCGCGCUACACUGAAGCGUUCAACGAGUAUUCACCUUGCCCGGGAGGGUUGGGUAAUCUUUUCAAAACGCUUCGUGAUGGGGAUAGAUUAUUGCAAUUAUUAAUCUUCAACGAGGAAUUCCUAGUAAGCGCGAGUCAUCAGCUCGUGCUGAUUACGUCCCUGCCCUUUGUACACACCGCCCGUCGCACCUACCGAUUGAAUGGUCCGGUGAAAUCUUGGGAUUUUGUUUUGUUUGCAUUUAUUUGUAUCGAGACGAGAGAACUUGAGUAAACCUUACCAUUUAGAGGAAGGUGAAGUCGUAACA
Molecule: ribosomal RNA, 327 nt
Filed under: uncultured eukaryote
Lineage: Eukaryota
Description: partial 18S ribosomal RNA
Rfam family: Eukaryotic small subunit ribosomal RNA
Source: RNAcentral